RNAcentral lists this ribosomal RNA (253 nucleotides) under uncultured bacterium. RNAcentral's name for it is "partial 16S ribosomal RNA". It matches the Rfam family "Bacterial small subunit ribosomal RNA", at positions 524 to 776 of the family's 1533-position model. The record is from RNAcentral.
UACGUAGGGGGCAAGCGUUGUCCGGAUUUAUUGGGCGUAAAGAGCGUGUAGGCGGUUUGGUAGGUCCGUUGUGAAAACUCGAGGCUCAACCUCGAGACGCCGGCGGAAACCAUCAGGCUAGAGUCCGGAAGAGGAGAGUGGAAUUCCUGGUGUAGCGGUGAAAUGCGCAGAUAUCGGGAAGAACACCCGUGGCGAAGGCGGCUCUCUGGGACGGUACUGACGCUGAGACGCGAAAGCGUGGGGAGCGAACAGG